This 781-nucleotide ribosomal RNA is filed under the name Enterobacter sp. MN17. Its description in RNAcentral is "bacterial SSU rRNA". It matches the Rfam family "Bacterial small subunit ribosomal RNA", at positions 1 to 765 of the family's 1533-position model. Lineage: Bacteria; Pseudomonadati; Pseudomonadota; Gammaproteobacteria; Enterobacterales; Enterobacteriaceae. The record is from RNAcentral.
GGGGGGGGUUUAUAUAGGGGGGGUGGGCCGCUCAGAUUGAACGCUGGCGGCAGGCCUAACACAUGCAAGUCGAACGGUAGCACAGAGAGCUUGCUCUCGGGUGACGAGUGGCGGACGGGUGAGUAAUGUCUGGGAAACUGCCUGAUGGAGGGGGAUAACUACUGGAAACGGUAGCUAAUACCGCAUAACGUCGCAAGACCAAAGAGGGGGACCUUCGGGCCUCUUGCCAUCAGAUGUGCCCAGAUGGGAUUAGCUAGUAGGUGGGGUAACGGCUCACCUAGGCGACGAUCCCUAGCUGGUCUGAGAGGAUGACCAGCCACACUGGAACUGAGACACGGUCCAGACUCCUACGGGAGGCAGCAGUGGGGAAUAUUGCACAAUGGGCGCAAGCCUGAUGCAGCCAUGCCGCGUGUAUGAAGAAGGCCUUCGGGUUGUAAAGUACUUUCAGCGGGGAGGAAGGCAGUACGGUUAAUAACCGUGUUGAUUGACGUUACCCGCAGAAGAAGCACCGGCUAACUCCGUGCCAGCAGCCGCGGUAAUACGGAGGGUGCAAGCGUUAAUCGGAAUUACUGGGCGUAAAGCGCACGCAGGCGGUCUGUCAAGUCGGAUGUGAAAUCCCCGGGCUCAACCUGGGAACUGCAUCCGAAACUGGCAGGCUUGAGUCUCGUAGAGGGAGGUAGAAUUCCAGGUGUAGCGGUGAAAUGCGUAGAGAUCUGGAGGAAUACCGGUGGCGAAGGCGGCCUCCUGGACGAAGACUGACGCUCAGGUGCGAAAGAUCUCC